GGGAUGGCCACAUGGUAAACCCAGGCAUCCCAGGACAUACCACCAGAACUCUACCUUCCAAUAAAAGAUGUGAGGACGCUUGACUGGGCUGUUAGAAAGGUGGCAUGCUGGAUUGUUACAUAAAUUUCCUUCACAAAGCAACUUGAGAGGACGUUGAAUAUCAGUUUCCAUCACAUGGUUCAGCAGGGAUGUUAGUUUGUCCAUGGGGUAGAACUAAGGUGACCUUCUGUCAAGGAACUCAGAUUGGAAAUGAAGAAUAAAACUGGCCGGGCAUGGCGGCCCACGCCUGUAAUCCCAGCACUUUGGGAGGCUGAGGCGUGUGGAUCACGAGGUCAGGAGAUCGAGAACAUCCUGGCUAACACGGUGAAACCCCAUCUCUACUAAGAAUACAAAAACUUAUCUAGGCGUGGUGGCGGGUGCCUGUAGUCCCAGCUACUCAGGAGGCUGAGGCAGGAGAAUGGCGUGAACCCAGGAGGUGGAGCUUGCAGUGAGCCAAGAUUGCACCACUGCACUCCAGCCUGGGCAACAGAGCAAGACUCUGUCUCAAAAUAAAUAAAUAAAUAAAUAAAUAAAUAAAUAAAUAAAUAAAUAAAUAAAUAGAAUAAAACCUGGUCUUUCACCACAUACUGUUAGAGAAGCCCUGAUAAAGGUGUUCCUGAGGCUCUUCUAGAUUGCCACCAUCAAAGGUGUCCCUGAUGAUGGGCAUAGCAGUGAAAAAGAGCUCUUCACACACAAAAGCAGUGGCUGCCCUGGGUGCCCCAAUUGCUUGAAGUCUUGUUCCCAGAGUGAAUUACUCAACAGGGAGAAAAGACACUACUACUACUGCCAGCAAUUACCAGGAAGAAUGUUGGAAUUUUUUUUACAUUAUACUUCCAUGAAAAAAAUAAUAAUAAUAAUUUUUCACUAGGAAAUGGUACUGGACUCCACCCUGACACCAAAUUACAAAGGAACUCUAGAUAUUUAAUAAUUGGAAAUAUCAAAACUCUAAACUGGUAUCUGACUCUCACACUUUCAGCUGGGAGGCAGGAACAUAGUAAAAGUUGCUUCAUUUUGUAUGUCCAUCAUCCAGAAAAGUUAUAAAUAGGAUUGUGAACAUGGUGGGUUAGAAUAUCUGCUAUUUCACCAAAAAGUUAAAUGAACUUAGACCACGUGGACAAUUUUCAGAUAAUCAUCCUAAGAUAGAGAAUGAGGGACUAUCAUAAAAGAAUUAUUGCUCAGGGAUACUUCUUCAAAGUCCUUAUUCCUUUCUUGAGAAUAUAAGAGAAAACCCACAAAAUAGAAUAUGCAUGAACUAGAAAUAUCCAAACCUACUAAUAAAGGCAAGCCAUGUCAGCAUAGUCUGUGACUGGCAAAGUCUAGAUUGUUUAUUGAAAACCAAGCAGUUUUCAAUAUUAACGUACCAGUAAAUACUAUAAGAUAUUGUCAGAGAAAACUAAGAAAGACUUCUAUUUGGCCUCAUAGGACAAUUUUCCAUUCAAAAUGACACUACCAAGUAACUUUAAGUACACCUUAAAGUACAUCUUCCAUUCACGAAUGUAUGUCUUACAUACAUUUAAUUUUAGUUUCAGAAAUAAUGAGAGCUUCCCAAAGGUGAAUAUCUUGAUGCUUGAGGUCCUCCAUCAUAUUCUUAAGCUCCUGAAAAAGAAGAGGAUGCUCAAUCUCUUCAAACCUGCUCAGCCUUAUUGGUCCUUGUUGCCUGGAGACAUCAAAGUUAACCAUGGAGCUAAAUACCUUGAAUUUUGACUUUCUAUUUUAGAAAGUAGAACAUCAGUGAGUGAGCUGUAUUUUAAUUAUUUUAUUUAGAUGUAUACUUAGGGCUUCCAUAAAUAUGUUUCUGGGGCCUAUAAGAGGAACAUUUUGUAUUCUGCUACUUCCCACCAAGGUAGAACUUGGCGAAACACUCUGAGUUUCAGCAUUCCUGUUGGGUCCUCAGCAGGGAUUUGAAUAGCACUCUACUGAAUUUGCCACAGACAUACCUUUAACAGCACCCAAAAU
Molecule: long non-coding RNA, 1995 nt
Filed under: Homo sapiens (human)
Lineage: Eukaryota; Metazoa; Chordata; Mammalia; Primates; Hominidae
Description: HSALNT0048126
Source: RNAcentral